This 390-nucleotide ribosomal RNA is filed under the name Ixodes ricinus (castor bean tick). RNAcentral's name for it is "partial 16S ribosomal RNA". Lineage: Eukaryota; Metazoa; Arthropoda; Arachnida; Ixodida; Ixodidae. The record is from RNAcentral.
UUGCUGUGGUAUUUUGACUAUACGAAGGUAUUGAAAUAAGAUUUUAAAUGAGUGCUAAGAGAAUGAUUAAACAAUUAAAAGCUUUCUUUAAUUGAAUAAUUGAAUUUAAUUUUUUAGUGCAAAAGCAAAAAUAAAAAUUAGGGACAAGAAGACCCUAUGAAUUUUUUAUUAAAUUUUAUAAAACUUUAUAUAAAAUUUAAUUUAAUUGGGGUGAUGGAAAAAGAAUAAAUAUCUUUUUUUUUAAAAAAAAUUGGUUCCGUUUUUAGCGAUUAAAUGAAAAAAAUACUCUAGGGAUAACAGCGUAAUAAUUUUGGAUAGUUCAUAUAGAUAAAAUAGUUUGCGACCUCGAUGUUGGAUUAGGAUUCUUUUUUGGUGAAGAAGUUAAAAAAA